Molecule: long non-coding RNA, 1033 nt
Organism: Populus euphratica (Euphrates poplar)
Lineage: Eukaryota; Viridiplantae; Streptophyta; Magnoliopsida; Malpighiales; Salicaceae
Exons: 2
Source: RefSeq, a predicted model, not a curated record
UAUGUUAGGCCUUCCAACCUUUUCUAAUCUAUAAACAGAGAUCAUCCACUAAGACCACCGCUUCUGCCACCACCGGACCACCGCCAAAUAAAUCAGCGCCGUCACCCCACCCCCACCACGUCUGCUCCACAUCGAUAGCCUCUGACAUCACCUUUCCUAAACGGUGCGCUUUUAUCGCAAAGAGAAUACAAAAGCAGUGACCAAGAAGACCUGUGUUUGGUUACAGAGAAAGCAAGAGAAAAGAAAAUGGCGUUGAAUUCACAGAAAUGGGGUUAUGUAAGGAUCAUAACUGGCACAAUUCUUGGUGGGGUUCUUGGGUUCUAUGUUAUGCACCGGGUGGAAGUCAGCUACAAGGAAAAGAUGAAGGAGAGAUUGAGAGAGUAUGAAAAGGAAUUGAAGAAGAAAGAGGAGUUGAAACAGCUCGAGGAGUCCAUGUAGUUUUCCUUUCCUUUUCUUUUCUUUUUGGUUGCUGAGAAAAGGGUGGAAAGUGAAAGAAAAUAGAAGUAAUGUUCUACUCCAUCAAAGCAAUCUAAUUACAUGAACACUAAGAAGGUGAGAGAAUUAUGGAUUUGUUGUUGGUUUAGCAUAUUGGUUGAGCUUUUGACUUUACUUGAUAUGGAUUGUAGUUGAUCACCAAUAUUGGGAAAUUGUUGGCUUGUUUGCUGUCCAUUACAACUAGGUUGUCAGCAUCACUUUGAUGCUUCACUGGAACCUCUUAUACCAUUAUGGCUGAGUAGGUGCCAGUCCAGGGUUGAAAUAUCAGUCUGGAGUUUUGGAAAUUCUGUUAUCCAGUAAUUGAUACGCAGAAAACUCAUUGAUUUGAAUGUGUCUUGUUUUGAAUGUGUAGAGAACUCAUUGAUUAAUCUUGAAACUUUGUGUCAAUGGACUUUCUCACGGAUCAAUCUGCAUACCCAAUGAAGGUCCCAAGGAAAGAAUGUUCAUGGAUAGAGUUGGUUAACUUAUUGUUAUGCUUUCAAAUUUUCUCAGCAAUAGACUUGAUGGAUUAAUUUUCGUAGUGAUCUUUCCAACUUCU